This 7948-nucleotide long non-coding RNA is filed under the name Brachypodium distachyon (stiff brome). Its description in RNAcentral is "long non-coding RNA (BDIS_LNC004174)". Lineage: Eukaryota; Viridiplantae; Streptophyta; Magnoliopsida; Poales; Poaceae. The record is from RNAcentral.
CAUCUUUGCAAACACCACCCCGCGAUCAGCCUUCAUUUUUCUAAAACGCCCCUGGAAACAACGACCUCCCCCGAUCUUCUUCUCUCAAUAGAUGGAUCUCGAGAACACAUGGAGUACUCGUUCAUAUUGUUCGAAUGAACGCGUUCAUUUUCAAUGUCCAUUGGAAGUUGAGCUUCACACUAAGAGCAUGUACAGUGCGACGCUUAUAAGCCGACACUAGGAUCAAAAUCCUGUCCAACUUGCAGUUUUCUACUCCAAUCGAUGCUAAAUGAGUCGCCCAACUCUAUCUCACUUUUUGGCUCACGACGUGAAAAUCGGAGGCAUCUGGAUUUAGCGCCCAGCACUGCAGGGUGGGGCUCUUAGCUGGUUUUUAAUUUCCCGGUUUAGAAGUGCUUCUGUGCUUUGCUAAAAAAAUUGCACGACUUUUAAAGCAAAUGGAAGAGUCAAAUCCUUCCGUCUAUGAUAGUCCAAAUACGUGUAACCCUAAAGCCCACAAAGUCCGGCGGUUAACCCUUUAUCAUGAUGCCCAGUUGGCAGUUGCUCGCGUCCUUUCGUUCUUCUCCACGACCACCUCUACUCGGGCCUCUUCUUUCUCCAUGGCUGCCUUUUUGAGUCCACGGUGGAUCGGACUUAGGGGAGUCAAUACGAGAGAUGGUUCCAGACUAGGGUGCUCUGCCGCUCUGGCACUCUUUUGUCGAUGCACACAUAGGUUGGGUCAACGGAGAUCUGCCCCACGCACGAGCGACGGCGAUCCGCACCAGGAGCUUGACGCGGUCGAGGGCAACGUCCUGACAGGAGGCUUCUCUGUGAGGAAAACGGUGUCAGCGUGUGGGCAAGCUCGGACACUGGAUACGGGCUGGAUCUGAAGGCCGUGUUCUAGCAAUUUGCAUUACCGUUAAGUACUAACACUUCUUUGGGAUUCAUGCUGAAUUUUUUUCCAGCAAAGUAGAGAAGCACUUCUCUUAUUUUUCUCAUUCUAAGCUGCUAAAUAAGCACCGACCAUUGGACAUGCUCUAAACGGGUUCCCACAAGUUGCCACGUGCAAGCUCACUGCCAACUGAGAUCACGAAAGGGGGCGCGGCUUGCCUGCGGCCCUCGCGUGCGACCAUCCGUGUGACCCGACGCAGCCGUUCUUAUCAAUCUAACAACUCCCGCAGAUUUCCUCGUCCCGCAUCCCAUUUGGAGUAGUAGGAAAAAAAAACAGCGUAUUUCAUCUACUUCCCGUACAUACACGUGCCCGUACUUUUUUUAUCCAGAUGUCUUAGAGGAAGAAACAGGAAGACAUACGGUCAGGACCAGGUGGCAGGAGGCCUAUAGUGGACCGUGGAACUCGUUGUCCAGGACGUUGGACUCGAGGUCUUUGAACGUGUUUUGCCCAAUUGCCCGGGUCCAGCGUCCUCGAACCGGAGGAACUCGUCCCGCCCGCGGCAGCGUCACGUACAGUCGACCACAGCACCGAUUCCCAAUGAAUGCGGAUUCGAUAUGCAAACCGCAAAAAGGCCUAGCAAACGAGUCAACACAAGCGCGGGCGAUUGUUGCGCCGGACUACAACAAGCACCUUAGAAGAAGCAAGUGUGCAAUAAAUAUUCACCUGAGAAACUGGUUACAGAUUUCCAGGUGUCAAUCUUUCAUGGUUCCAGACGGAUCAAGCAAUCGAGUCAUGUCAUGACUUUGCCGAUCCUUGGGUUCCGUUCCGAAAUAAUUGGUGCCAGUAGUUUUGCAAAAACACCCUUGAUGUUUUCUGAAAUCAACCUGCAGGACACACCUUCAACUGAAGGUGGACCACAGCUUGAUUUCAGAAAACAGGAUUUUUUUUAGCAAAAGUUCCGAUAGAACGUGGACUGCGAACCAAUUUCGGGAAACAGCAGGGGUGUUUUUGUAAAACAACCGGGACCAAUCAAUUUGGUACCGAGGGAGCAGCAGUAGGCUAGCAACAGCAUCCCCACCACUAGGUCCGCUACUAAUCAAAAACAUUUCUCAACAAGUGAACCUACAGGGCCAUAGCCUUGCUGAAAUAUCUCUAACAAACCACCAUUCUAUCUGAUUCCUACUCAGAUCAAGUACUUGUGAUUGUGACCACCUGGGAUGAAUGAAACAUAAAGGAAGCCAACAAGACACCAAUUAGCUCUAUCGGUAGAAAAGGAAUGUUUCGUAUAAGCUAUAUAUCUUGAGGAAUAUGGAAUGCGCAAAAUAAAUGCCACGGAGCUUGUUGACUUUAUUUUAUUUUUACAUAAUGGAAAAGGAUUCAUUACCAUAGUUUCCAACUUUCCAUAAGAAACAAGCACUGCUAAAUGCUGAUUAACAUGUCAGUACUAACCCACCGUGGUAAAAGCAGUUGUCGUAGCCCAACUUCAACACUAUAUACUAAUAACACAUAAUAAUAGUAUAGUCUGUGCCCAGAGCUAGUUGAGGGAGGGAUUGUCAGCCUGCAAUAUGCAGAUGAUACUUUUUUUUCCCAGAAUGAAUUCGCCCGACACGACGAAUCCCGCCCCCCAUGUCUUUCUUUCUCAUUGAAUGAACCACUGCAUGGGACGCCCUAUUCCUAUGAAUUCAAUGAUUUAAGGGCCCUUGGGGGAAACUUCGGAAAGAAAGCCUACUGGUUGGUCUGGUUGUCCCCCCGGCGGUGCCCGGGCGGUCCUCGGUUCAAUCUUGCCGAUUCUACCUAGACAUGGCUCAAAACGAAGGGGUAAGACCAAGUGUUCUUAAAACAAAACUCCCAGUGCACACUCCGGAGCACGGUCUUCCGCUUUUUGUUGCAGAUGGCACUAGGAAAGCCACCAACCUUAAGUGGAUCCUCACCUGUUUUGAGCAGUCAUCGGGGACGAGAAUAAACUAUCACAAGAGUGAGCUCAUUGCAGUUGGCAUGGAAGAUGUGGAGAUUAGACCUUUUACUGACAUUUUCCAAUGAGUAGAGGGGCAUUUCCCCAGUAAGUAUUUGGGGAUUCCCUUGCACUUUGAGAGCUUAAAAAGAGCUGAUUUGCGACCUGUGGUAGACAAAUUGAUGAAUAUGAUUGCUGGCUGGAGGGGGAAAUUGUUGUCAAGUGGGGUAGACUUGCUUUGAUCAAAACUGAACAAAUCCAACGUGCAACAUGAUAUGAAUCCGUAUCUAACACUAACAUCACCCGAGAUGAAAAAUCAAACUCGGUUUACGACCUAGUGAAUACGACUAGACUACAAACUAAACUGUAUACUUACAUUGCGGAUCCAGCCCCACCGGUCAGCGACUCGCUGGUCGGCUCUGCUCCUCGACGAACGCUUCCUCAGGUCAGCCCUGCACAGGCCAUCGGGUACCACGACACAUACGAUGGAUGGGUCUUGGGUUCUUGGCAAACUGCGCUGAGGGCCACCGAGGCCAGAGCAGGGGCCCGACCAAUUUUCCUAGCCACCCCCCGCCUGUGGCCCAUUUUCUCACGGAGAGUCCCCAAUCCUCACUUUCGCUCUCCAUAGGGGGGAACCCGGCCGGACUGCCGGCGCAAAUCCGAUCUCGAUUCCAGUUCCGAUUCCUUCCAAACCCCCCCACAAAAAUCAAAUCGAGUCUAGGCUGUAGAGGAACUUGAGAUGAAGGAUCUCAAGUUCCGAUUCCUUCCGCCGCAUUACGACUCCGGCGACGCAAGGCCAUGCUUUUCGCUGCUAGAAAAGCACGCCUACCUCGUCCGCCGCCAAAACGCCACAACCGCCGCCUGCGACCUCGACAGCGGACGGAUCCAGGCCACCUUCUGCGCCGCCCACCCGCCACGCGCAUCCUACUUGUGCAUCCAUGCCACCGGCUUGGGUCGCACUAAGCUCCGCGCCGAGCCCCAGAUCUUGGCCACGGAGGGGCCCCUCGCCGUCAUCCGCGUCGUCGUCAACCGUCGCAAGUCGUUCGUGGAGGUGGAGUACUUCGUCUACCACGCCGGCAGCAGCUCCUCCGAGGGACGCCGGCCGCCGUCGCUCAAGCGCAUCCCGAACCCCGCACCCUACUUUUUCUUCAACGAAAAUACGGUUGCCAUCGUGCGCCACUGCCCUCGUCAAGCCAGCACCCGGCGUCGCCCCGGCGGCCUCAGUGCCUGCGCCCUGCGCCCCAACCGACGAGACAGCAAGGAGGAGGAGGAUCAUGACUGCGGCGACUGCAACUACAUCAUCGCGGCACUCCGCAACGACGGGUCCAACACCAGGGCACCCUACCAGCUCUGCCGGUACCACUCCAAGACUGAAACUUGGAGCCCUCCCGAGCCAAUGGAAACCGAGUGGGAGCACGGACCUUACCCUUCCGGUUCCUCCUGCAAGGCCAUUACCAUCGGAGGAGAGCAAGGCACAGUGGCCUGGGUCGCUCUCAACAAGGGCGGCAGGGGUAUCAUCUUUUGCGACGUGCUCACAAUAACAGACAGCAGCCCCCGGCCUCCGGUGCUUCGCUGCCUGGACAUGCCGCCGAAAAUCAAGACUUUCAGUGGACGUUCAUAUUAUGUCCGGGAGAUUGACCUCGUCGACGGCUUCAUCGUCUACAUCGAGUUGCAGAUACGUGACCUUGCGCCAGACACACCUACAGAUGAAUAUGUUUGGAUGGCCAGCACAUGGAAAUUCAAGAUCGACUCAUCUUUGCCGUUUUCAUCUAUCCAAUGGCAGCGGGGAUGCAAGUUAGGCUCCUCUGAGGUCAACAAAUCCAUGCGUGAUAAGCUUAAACUUCGCGAUGCCGAAACAAUCUGCAAGAUAGGCCUGCCCGUCCUGAGCCUUCAUGAGGAUGGCAUUGUUUACAUCCUCACCACCCUUUUCCGCGAGAAGAGGCACACCAAGUCAUGGGUGCUUGCCAUUGACAUGAAAAAGAAGAUGGUGCAGGAGCUGGACGAGUUCGAGAACAACCGAAAAGUCUACUUAUUCGGGGGCUUCUUGAUUCCAAGUAGGAUCACCAAAUAUCUCCAACUUGAUCCAGGUAAUUCAAAGUCCCUGUUGCCUAACCAGCUGUCGUUAGGAACUGGUAUUGUUUAUUCUUGGGGUUUAAUUUCAGAUUUUAAACGAGGACCCACCGGGGAAGGUCCUGAUUGAGCUAGAGUUCACUUAUAGUCUCUACAUUGUUAUUAUACCUUUUCUUUCUUCUCCAUAGGGAUAGGUAAAGUAAGGGUUACUAGUUAGAAGCCCGUGCGUUGCUACGGAACAAAAAAAGUUCAACAGACAAUAAAUAUGGUCCUACGUAUAAACAAAAUCAUUUAGUCCCUCUAGUCUGAUCAAGAUUACCAUCUCCUUACUAAGCUUCUAAUUUUUGUAAAUUUCCUAUAUGUACGUAGCACUGUUUCGAUAGUUGUGUAAUGACUGAUGAAAUGGACAAAACCCAAACUGCUAUUCGGGGCCUAUAUUCUUGGGAUGGUUUACACUUAAUAUUGGCACCUACAUAUAUAUACUCAAAAGUGUUACAUCUAUGCUACUAUUAUAUUGUUAGCCCCCAUCUUUGUAUUAAACUUUUAAAUCUCCUUCCUGAUAUAUACUUGGCCCUACCUUUGAUCUAGUUCAUCAUAUGAUGGCAUCCUAUCCUAAAAAUCCAGAUUUUCUCCAAAGUAUUAUGUAAAUCAGGUAACAGAGGUAAAGAAUCUGAAACUGAACAAUGACCAAUUUAUAAUAAACUGAUGUUCCCCUUUUCCCCUCCCAACAUUUCUUCACAACCAUGCAUCAGAUCAGCACAGAAGUAAAUCAGUAAUCAUUUUUAUUCAAAAAAUUUGUGCCAUGCCGUACAACAUUUCACCUAAUUGGUUGGGAUGUCUUAAACUGAUUAGAGAUGGAUUUUGGUCACCUAAGCUCCCUGAAUUUUCUUUUUUGAUGCCAUGAAGUACAAGGUUUCACCUGAUUGGCUGGGGAUGUCUUAAACUGAUUGGAGAUGGAUUUUGGUCGCCUAAGCUCCCUGAAAUUUCUCCCCUUGGGAUCUGGUAGUCUAAACAAUAACCUAGGUCCUUGCAAAUUUCUCCCCUUGGGAUUUUGGUCUUCUAGGUUCCAUAGGGAUAGGCAGAGCAAGGGUUAUUUGGGGCUGCCUGCUACGGACUAGUUGUUUACGAAUCAUUUUCUUUUGCUAAACUAAAGACAUGUUUUUUGUACUGUAGAUACAACAAAGCAAAACCACAAGCGACAAAAGAUGAUGCUGCAACGACACUCGUGCGUGGACCUGCCCGGAGUCGCCAUUGAGUCCCAUUCAGAUAUGGAGUUAGAUGAUGAUGAGGAGGAGGAAGAAGAAGAGGAGGAAGACAAUGGGCCAUCCCUGCCAGAGCCAAAAGCACAAACCCCAGAGGAGCUAGCACUGGAAUUGGCAUGCAAGCCGUGGCUUCUUAACUUAGAGGAGUUGGUACUGGAGAAGUCAGGCAAGUCGUGGAACGAGGUACUCCAAAGCCGAGGCAGUGCAGUUCCCGUUUCGGAGGGAGAAGUGGAGGACGUGGAGGAGGCGAGCAAGAAGCCACGGACAUAUGAUUGGAUUAUCUGAUGCCUUUUGGCUGCUUGACAUUUGUGCACACUUAGAUUAUCCUGUGUCUUUUGUUUAGUAAGAGUAUGCUAACGGAUUCACUUGGGUGUCGCUUAAGAUUAAUGUUAGCUAUGGGGUCUCAUCACUAGCACCUGUUUUGAACUCUGCGUGUCAUCUGCUUGUCAGUUCGUGAAAUUAUGACCAACUCAUUAAGCCUGAAAUUUAAUCCUUUGUUUGUGCAGAAUUUUCUGCUGCAAUCAAGAUAUUCGAUAGAAAAUAAACAUACUACCCGCAUGAUUGUUACUGUUGUGCUAUUCUGAUAACUAGUGGCUGGGGCGCGCCUCCUAGGGCGGUACUGAGUGCACCGACAGCACUUUUCAGAAAACUCUCCGCGAAUAGAAGGAUCAACCAUCUUUGACAGAGAAUCAAAGUCAUGAAGGUGACAAUCGGCCCAUCUAACAAAAUGUUUCUCAACACGCGGGCGAGAACUGCAUAUUUCAACAAAAAUGUAGGCACAUGAGGAAGUACAUUCACAUUUUUGCGAAGAUGUGUGAUCUAAAACAGUUACAGAGAAGGUCCUGAUUAAGCACUGCGAAUUACAUCGAAUCACUCACCUGUCAUAUGGUUUACGGCCAGCGAGAAGUUCUAGCAUUACCACAACCAAAACUGUGAACAUCACUUCGAUACGGUGGAACGGUUUUGGUGUGGUUCUGUUGGAAGGAACGACCAACAAAACAAAGGAAUGUUGAGGACUCUUGCCCAGGUUUGAUUUCUGCUCAUUCUUACAGUUUAGUUUCUCCACAUCUUUUAGGAUUCUUGCCUAGGUUUGAUGAUACCAUGAAAAUUUUGGCCGACUAAAUUUUAUUUUUAGCCGUGCACAAACUAUUUCAUGUAAUUUUUGUGCACAAAAUGGAUAUUGGGAGAAAAUGAUUAUUCUUCCUUUUACUAAUCACCCCUGUUUGAUCGUAGCUUAACGAAUUUCCCUUUUUUGUAGACGUAUAGCCAGCUACAAAAUGCUGAUGCAAAUGAUAUCCAUGGACCUUCACAAGCUCGUCCUAUAUUUUAUUUAUCAAGUUUGUAAUUGUUUUCAUUUUGGAAAAAGUUCAUCUUUGGCCGAAAUGCCAAACAGACUCAACUUUCAGAAUGUCCCAAUCUGGCCCCUCAACUUUCCGUUUGCUCUGCAAUCAACUAAAUUAUGCAAUGGUGCAAUCAAACAUAUUUGAGCCAUCCGAUGUGCAUCCUCUGGCAAUGACUCACGCACGGAGCUCCCACCUUUUUUUUUUGCAGGUGAAGCUCCCACCUCUCGUUGGAUACAUCUUUGCAAACACCACCCCGCGAUCAGCCUUCAUUUUUCUAAAACGCCCCUGGAAACAACGACCUCCCCCGAUCUUCUUCUCUCAAUAGAUGGAUCUCGAGAACACAUGGAGUACUCGUUCAUAUUGUUCGAAUGAACGCGUUCAUUUUCAAUGUCCAUUGGAAGUUGAGCUUCACACUAAGAGCAUGUACAGUGCGACGCUUAUAAGCCGACACUAG